CGCCCUUAGAGUUUGAUCGUGGCUCAGAUUGAACGCUGGCGGCAGGCUUAACACAUGCAAGUCGAACGGUAUAGGUGCUUGCACCUGACGAGUGGCGGACGGGUGAGUAAUGUAUGGGGAUCUGCCGAAUGGAUUGGGACAACCACUGGAAACGGUGGCUAAUACCGAAUAAUGUUGAGAGACCAAAGUGUUUCGACAUGCCAUUUGAUGAACCCAUAUGGGAUUAGCUAGUAGGCGGGGUAAUGGCCCACCUAGGCGACGAUCUCUAGCUGGUCUGAGAGGAUGACCAGCCACACUGGGACUGAGACACGGCCCAGACUCCUACGGGAGGCAGCAGUGGGGAAUAUUGCACAAUGGGGGAAACCCUGAUGCAGCCAUGCCGCGUGUAUGAAGAAGGCCUUCGGGUUGUAAAGUACUUUCGGUAGUGAGGAAGGUUACUAUUAACAUAGUAAAUUGACGUUAAUUACAGAAGAAGCACCGGCUAACUCCGUGCCAGCAGCCGCGGUAAUACGGAGGGUGCGAGCGUUAAUCGGAAUGACUGGGCGUAAAGGGCAUGUAGGUGGAUAAUUAAGUUAGGUGUGAAAGCCCCGAGCUCAACUUGGGGAAUUCACUUAAAACUGGGUAU
This 625-nucleotide ribosomal RNA is filed under the name uncultured Enterobacteriaceae bacterium. Its description in RNAcentral is "bacterial SSU rRNA". It matches the Rfam family "Bacterial small subunit ribosomal RNA", at positions 1 to 640 of the family's 1533-position model. The record is from RNAcentral. Lineage: Bacteria; Pseudomonadati; Pseudomonadota; Gammaproteobacteria; Enterobacterales; Enterobacteriaceae.